AGUCUUUUCUGGGGGCUCCCAUCAGGUACUGCAAAGCCACAAUUGGGUCACCCUGAAUCCCAAAUUCUCUCAGCCUUUCCUCAUAGCACAGGAGUUCCAGCCCUAUAAUCAAUUUUAUUUGAUCCUCUGAACUCACCUCUACCUGUACCUGCCUUUACCUGCAAUUCUUGUUCUUUGACAAGAUUUGUGCUGCUUGAAUUCCCAAAGGGGAGAAGCAGAGACACAAAGAGAAGAAAAAGAGAAGCAGUGGAAAGGUGCUGGAAGCAUCAUUUGAGGAAUAAUCAAGGUGUAAUAAGAAGGUCCUUAAUUCCUCAACAGGCACACUCAGUGCUUUGGAAACAACCUGCUUCAGAUUACAGGGAAACACCAGAGAGUGGAUUCUGUGUGCAGAACUGGGAUGAUCUGUUGGAUGUGAGGAGCUUCUGGAUGGUGUUUGUGCCUGGAGAUGACAGAGAUGUUUUCUGCCAUUCUCCCGUGCUGGGCUGUGCUCCUGUGCCUCCCCAGAACAGGUCUAAGGAACACAGAAAAUGGGCCAGGUCAUGACUGAGCCUGAUGAUCUGUGGGACAGAUCUGCCCUUUUUGAAGAUGAAUUUUAGAAAUUCAGUCCCAGCCACCCAGACUUCCCUUUCUACCCCUUUGAAGAGAGGUGCAGAGCAGAUGAAGAUGCCUGUAAAGGACUUUAGGAGUGGUUUGUGUCACUCAGCAACGCUGGCAUAAAUCAGAUUAUUGCUGCA
This is a long non-coding RNA of Oenanthe melanoleuca, 734 nucleotides long. RefSeq lists it as uncharacterized. The transcript is spliced from 3 exons. The record is from RefSeq and is a predicted model, not a curated record. Lineage: Eukaryota; Metazoa; Chordata; Aves; Passeriformes; Muscicapidae.